UACAGGGGGGGCAAGCGUUGUUCGGAAUUACUGGGCGUAAAGGGUUCGUAGGUGGCCACUUAAGUCAGACGUGAAAUCCCUCAGCUUAACUGGGGAACUGCGUCUGAUACUGGAUGGCUUGAGUGCAGGAGAGGAAUGCGGAAUUCCAGGUGUAGCGGUGAAAUGCGUAGAUAUCGGAAGGAACACCUGUUGCGAAGGCGGCUCUCUGGACUCAAACUGACGCUGAGGCACGAAAGCGUGGGUAGCGAACAGG
Molecule: ribosomal RNA, 253 nt
Filed under: uncultured bacterium
Lineage: Bacteria
Description: partial 16S ribosomal RNA
Rfam family: Bacterial small subunit ribosomal RNA
Source: RNAcentral